Molecule: long non-coding RNA, 2126 nt
Organism: Anas platyrhynchos (mallard)
Lineage: Eukaryota; Metazoa; Chordata; Aves; Anseriformes; Anatidae
Source: RefSeq, a predicted model, not a curated record
CUCAAAGGCUAGUUUUCUCUAGCUUGUUCCAACACUGCUUUUCAUCUGUUUCUUUUGUUGCAGCUGUGGUUUUUAGCAGUUCAGGGCUUUCUGGAUUCUCCCUGGGCUUAUGAGAAAUUAACGCUUGCCUGCAUGAAGCUUUAACUCUGCAUUGGAGUACAGAAGACAGCACCCUGUCAGCAUCCUGUAACGAAUGGAAGCGUAAAAGGCGGUCGAGCCCUGAAAAAAGUCCCUUAGUUCCAAUUCAUUUCUCUGUCACUACAUUUAGCAAUGGGAUAUGAAGAAAAGAAGACUCUAGCCUCAGAGAGUAACAUACCUCUCCAUUGGAAGAACACCACUAAAUCCAUGUAAGCUAACACAUUGCUGCAGAUGAACUGAAGAGACAGGAAUUUGAGGCAGAGGGUUUUGGCAUGUGGUGGAAGUGAAGGAGUCAGAGGAGGCAACAAGCGUAACCACUCUGAGGAAGAAGUGCACAAUAAGACUAGACCAUAUUGAUCUGGGAAUGCUUUGGGUCUUUUUUAUGUCACUUACCAUGUGGCUUUCCACAGCGUGCAGCUUUGCAGAGAGUAAAAGAAAAGCCAUCGUGAAUAAAAACAGUCUCUGCUCCAUUAGACACAAGUGUUGAUAAGAAAACUAAAUGUCUGGAGGUCCUCACUAAGCUAAGCUAGAACACCACCUUUGAAUUCUUUUUUCAAUGUGUGGUUCAGCAAAUUGGAGAUAUGCACAAUAAAUAAAUAAAUAAGUAAAUAGAUCUGUUUCCUCACAUAUUUCAUCAACAGCAAAAGAACAGUAGAAUAAAAUCUCUCUCUCUCUCCCUGAUAAAUACCAUCCCCUAAAGGCAAAAAUAUCAUCAGCAGUUCUGGCCACUAAGUCCCAAAUCAAUAAUAACUGGAAGUUAAAUUACUGAGCAGUUGUCUGAUUCCAUUGGAAAUAAUGUUGAUGGCCUCCAAUUCACUCCGGCAUCUCUGAACUGGUACAUGUUUGAGAACCAGGCUUCUGCAUUUGGAUAUUGCAUAUAGUACAAGAAGGAAGACAAUUGGAAAGUACUUUCUAUUUUGUAACAGGGUCUAAUUUCACAUCUGCCCUUCCAGCAAAACAUAUGAGCAUUUCCACACGGAGCCUUCUGAGGAUACUCUUGUUUCUGUCAUUGCACUGUGCCCCUGCGACAAAUCGCAGUAGCCGUCAUGGUAAUGGAAAGCCCAAUAACGUCAAAAACUUCCUGGUGUAUAUGCAAUGGGAAGUCAUUCAGCAGUAUGUAAAUAAUCCUUGUUAACCACACUGUUACAGAAGAUUACUUCUCCUUUCCCCUCAAGCAGGGUGGCUAAUAUUUUGAUCCACACUACCAAAGACCACAGUAAGGUGCCACAGGAAAGAGAAUUCCUCUCCUCCCAACUCUCUUAUUUUGUGUGAUGACUGCAUUUGUAAGCUGCAGAGUAGAACAUAGUUAAAAUUAUAGCUAAUUUCACUUUGUGAGUUUGCAAGUGACAACACAGGGGUGCCUGUGAGAACCACAGAUUCCAGGAUCUCUGGUUUGUAUUAAUGUCCUAGUAAAAAAAAUGUGCUGUGUUUUUCCAGAGUACUGUUUUAGUGAAAUCUGAAGACUCCUACGUAUCUUUGCUUUACAUAUAUGUAUAUAUACUAUUUAUAGUGAUGUUACAGCUGACCAUCAUUCUUGACUUAAAAUACUUGUCAGAAAAAUGUUAGGUUGUGUUUUUAUUUUUUUUUUCACUACCAUAGAGAAAGGAAAAAUAGGUCACAGCAUGUCAUCCCUUCAAGGGGUACCUGGACAAAUUUCUUGCCAUUUAUUCUGUUGUACUUUCGUUCUGUGCAUCUGUAUUGGGUGAGAAGGACCAAAGAGAGAAGGUGCUGAAGACGCAGUGACGGAGUCUGAAGCCCUGAGGAAAGCACAAAGAGAAGUAGAGACAGAGACAUGCUUGAAGCUGUAAACAAAUGAAGUCCUUUGUCAUGAUUCUUGUUGCACUCAGGAAAACAGGACUUUCUGGUUAACAAUGUGAAGUAUAUUGAAGAAAUAGCUGAAGGCUACAUAAAGAGCAGGAGAAUAAACCUGCAGCCAGUGAUAAAAUUGUUGGGUGUCAGCUGCCACCAAGAUGCCAACUACACGUCGG